GUUUAAAUAGUUUAAAUAAAAUAUUGAUUUGUGGUGUCAUUGAUGAGAAUUAUUCUCUUUAAACC
RNAcentral lists this transfer RNA (65 nucleotides) under Sarcophaga similis. Its description in RNAcentral is "tRNA-His". The record is from RNAcentral. Lineage: Eukaryota; Metazoa; Arthropoda; Insecta; Diptera; Sarcophagidae. RNAcentral also lists the same sequence under 3 other names.